RNAcentral lists this ribosomal RNA (209 nucleotides) under uncultured bacterium. Its description in RNAcentral is "partial 16S ribosomal RNA". It matches the Rfam family "Bacterial small subunit ribosomal RNA", at positions 140 to 334 of the family's 1533-position model. The record is from RNAcentral.
UGGAUAACUCUCCGAAAGGAGAGCUAAUACAGCAUGAGACCACGGCUUCGUUGAAGCUGCGGCCAAAGCAGGCCUCUACACGUAAGCUUGCGCUUGAGGACGAGUCUGCGGCCCAUCAGCUAGUUGGUAGGGUAAUGGCCUACCAAGGCUAAGACGGGUAGCUGGUCUGAGAGGAUGAACAGCCACACUGGAACUGAGACACGGUCCAG